RNAcentral lists this ribosomal RNA (607 nucleotides) under uncultured bacterium. RNAcentral's name for it is "bacterial SSU rRNA". It matches the Rfam family "Bacterial small subunit ribosomal RNA", at positions 249 to 872 of the family's 1533-position model. The record is from RNAcentral.
UGGGCGGGGUAAUGGCCCACCAAGACAGUGAUCUGUAUCCGGCCUGAGAGGGCGCACGGACACACUGGAACUGAAACACGGUCCAGACUCCUACGGGAGGCAGCAGUGGGGAAUUUUGCGCAAUGGGGGAAACCCUGACGCAGCAACGCCGCGUGGAGGAUGAAGUCCUUCGGGACGUAAACUCCUUUCGAUCGGGACGAUAAUGACGGUACCGAGAGAAGAAGCCCCGGCUAACUUCGUGCCAGCAGCCGCGGUAAUACGAGGGGGGCGAGCGUUGUUCGGAAUUAUUGGGCGUAAAGGGUGCGUAGGCGGUUUGGUAAGUCUGAUGUGAAAUCUAUGGGCUCAACUCAUAGUCUGCAUCGGAAACUGCCGGGCUUGAGUAUGGGAGAGGUGAGUGGAAUUCCUGGUGUAGCGGUGAAAUGCGUAGAUAUCAGGAGGAACACCUGUGGCGAAAGCGGCUCACUGGACCAUAACUGACGCUGAUGCACGAAAGCUAGGGGAGCAAACAGGAUUAGAUACCCUGGUAGUCCUAGCCCUAAACGAUGACUGCUUGGUGUGACGGGUACCCAAUCCCGCCGUGCCGUAGCUAACGCGUUAAGCAGUCCGC